Molecule: ribosomal RNA, 253 nt
Filed under: uncultured bacterium
Lineage: Bacteria
Description: partial 16S ribosomal RNA
Rfam family: Bacterial small subunit ribosomal RNA
Source: RNAcentral
UACGAAGGGGGCUAGCGUUGCUCGGAAUCACUGGGCGUAAAGCGCACGUAGGCGGAUUGCUAAGUCAGGGGUGAAAUCCUGGAGCUCAACUCCAGAACUGCCUUUGAUACUGGCGAUCUUGAGUCCGGGAGAGGUGAGUGGAACUGCGAGUGUAGAGGUGAAAUUCGUAGAUAUUCGGUGGAACACCAGUGGCGAAGGCGACUCGCUGGACUGAUACUGACGCUGAGGUGCGAAAGCGUGGGGAGCAAACAGG